RNAcentral lists this ribosomal RNA (469 nucleotides) under uncultured bacterium. RNAcentral describes it as "partial 16S ribosomal RNA". It matches the Rfam family "Bacterial small subunit ribosomal RNA", at positions 28 to 507 of the family's 1533-position model. The record is from RNAcentral.
GACGAACGCUGGCGGCGUGCUUAACACAUGCAAGUCGAACGGAAAGGCCCUGCUUGCAGGGUGCUCGAGUGGCGAACGGGUGAGUAACACGUGGGUGAUCUGCCCCUUACUUUGGGAUAAGCCUGGGAAACUGGGUCUAAUACUGGAUAGGACCAUGCUGUAGGUGGUGUGGUGGAAAGAUUAGUUUCGGUAAGGGAUGAGCUCGCGGCCUAUCAGCUUGUUGGUGGGGUAAUGGCCUACCAAGGCGUCGACGGGUAGCCGGCCUGAGAGGGUGGACGGCCACAUUGGGACUGAGAUACGGCCCAGACUCCUACGGGAGGCAGCAGUGGGGAAUAUUACACAAUGGGCGCAAGCCUGAUGCAGCGACGCCGCGUGGGGGAUGACGGCCUUCGGGUUGUAAACUCCUUUCAGCCAUGACGAAGCCCUUGUGGUGACGGUAGUGGUAGAAGAAGCACCGGCUAACUACGUG